AAUAGAUACCCGGGUAGUCCACGCCGUAAACGAUGAGUGCUAAGUGUUAGAGGGUUUCCGCCCUUUAGUGCUAUAGCUAACGCAUUAAGCACUCCGCCUGGGGAGUACGGUCGCAAGACUGAAACUCAAAGGAAUUGACGGGGGCCCGCACAAGCGGUGGAGCAUGUGGUUUAAUUCGAAGCAACGCGAAGAACCUUACCAGGUCUUGACAUCCCACUGACCGGUAUAGAGAUAUACCUUUCCCUUCGGGGACAGUGGUGACAGGUGGUGCAUGGUUGUCGUCAGCUCGUGUCGUGAGAUGUUGGGUUAAGUCCCGCAACGAGCGCAACCCUUGAUCUUAGUUGCCAGCAUUUAGUUGGGCACUCUAAGGUGACUGCCGGUGACAAACCGGAGGAAGGUGGGGAUGACGUCAAAUCAUCAUGCCCCUUAUGACCUGGGCUACACACGUGCUACAAUGGAUGGUACAAAGGGCUGCAAGACUGCGAAGUCAAGCCAAUCCCAUAAAACCAUUCUCAGUUCGGAUUGCAGGCUG
This 532-nucleotide ribosomal RNA is filed under the name uncultured bacterium. RNAcentral's name for it is "bacterial SSU rRNA". It matches the Rfam family "Bacterial small subunit ribosomal RNA", at positions 777 to 1307 of the family's 1533-position model. The record is from RNAcentral.